AUAAUAAAUAAAUAUAAAUAAAAACCUCCCUCUGCCUCUAAUCCUCUUUGGACGUUAUUACUAUCACAAGUUCCAACUGCAAGCACCCACACCCACUUCCUGUGUCUCAAAUUUCUCUAGACCCUCUCACUAGUCUUCAACAUCAAGAUACCAUGGGAAGUAAGGCACCAAGCUGGGGUGAGCAAUGGAGCGCAGAAGGUUAUGGUGGCAUUGAUGAUGAUGACAAGCUCAUGAACAAGGUAGGAAACAGCAGUGGCAGCAAGAUGGGAGAUGUGAAAGCAGCAGCAUCGGCAGGACUCGGCAAGGCCAAGGCAGCUGCAUCAGUGAGCGCCCAAAAGGUUAAGAGCGGAACCUCGGUGGGAAUCAAAUGGGUCAAGAAUCAAUACCAGAAAAAGGUCUCUAAAUGAACAAAGAUUUGCUCCUUCGAUUGGAUGAAUGAAAACUUGUAUUUGUUCCAAAAAAAAAUAACCAAGAACAAUUUACAUGAAACUUUAUACAUACUAGGUGGACAAUGUGAACAGCUCUCUUUGUUGGCUUGGUAGUCAGUUGCUCACUUUUCUUAUCCCAAGCCCGAAGAUGGACAAUUUGAUUUAGUUUUGCUGUUCCUCACCCUCUAUAAUAUAUUAAUAUUUUUGUGCUU
Molecule: long non-coding RNA, 640 nt
Organism: Quercus lobata
Lineage: Eukaryota; Viridiplantae; Streptophyta; Magnoliopsida; Fagales; Fagaceae
Exons: 2
Source: RefSeq, a predicted model, not a curated record